UCCAGCAGUUGUCAGCUAUCCAGGCUAAUGUGAUGCCUCGGAUGGUGUUACACUGUUGGAAGAGCAAGCGCUGCCUUUAUUGAGGUCUGGCCUCAAGCACUGUUUUGGUGGUGUGGCCAAGUACCUUUGGGUAGCGUUUUGCACCUCUGAGAGUGGAGUAACUCCUCCUGUGGAGUUGGUCCUAGUCUGGGUGCAAACAAU
Small nucleolar RNA from Pteropus vampyrus (large flying fox), 201 nucleotides. Its record names the gene SNORA74. It matches the Rfam family "Small nucleolar RNA SNORA74". From Rfam's summary of the family: U19 belongs to the H/ACA class of snoRNAs. snoRNAs bind a number of proteins (including dyskerin, Gar1p and Nop10p in the case of the H/ACA class) to form snoRNP complexes. This class are thought to guide the sites of modification of uridines to pseudouridines by forming direct base pairing interactions with substrate RNAs. Lineage: Eukaryota; Metazoa; Chordata; Mammalia; Chiroptera; Pteropodidae. The record is from Ensembl.